UUUUGAUUUAGCGGAUAAAGACUUAAAAGCCAUGAGAGCGGUAAAUUUCCAGUUGUGUCACUCAACGUAUGAGCUCGAGGCUGGGGCAUUCACCGUGGUUCCGGACCUUCUGCCAAUAGGACCACUUUUGGCAAGCAACCGUCUAGGGAAUACAGCAGGACACUUCUGGCGCGAAGACUCAAGCUGUUUGGAGUGGCUAGACCAACAGCAACCAAGCUCUGUCAUUUACGCUGCUUUUGGCAGCUUUACAAUUCUUGACCAAGUUCAGUUUCAAGAAUUAGCAUUGGGACUAGAACUUUGCAACAGACCAUUUUUAUGGGUUGUGAGGCCAGAUAUUACCACCGAUGCAAAUGAUAGAUACCCAGAAGGAUUUCAAGAGAGAGUUGCUGCUCGAGGACGGAUGAUCGGCUGGGCAACUCAGCAGAAGGUUCUUAACCACCCUUCUAUUGCCUGUUUCCUGAGCCAUUGUGGUUGGAAUUCCACCAUGGAAGGUGUCAGCAAUGGCAUUCCUUUCUUGUGCUGGCCAUAUUUUGCUGAACAAUUCCUGAACGAGAGAUACAUUUGUGAUAUUUGGAAGGUGGGAUUGAGGUUUGACAAAAACGAAAGUGGCAUCAAUGGAAGAGAAGAAAUUAAGAACAAGGUGGAGCGAGUGCUCGGUGAUCCAGAUUUUAAAGCAAGGGCUUUGGAACUCAAGGAAAAAGCCAUGAGUAGCGUCAGAGAAGGUGGUUCCUCUCGCAAGACAUUUCAGAAUUUCCUUCAAUGGGUAAAGACAAACACCCUAGCUCAUAAUUCCCCGGUAAUGGGCGGUUAAUUCAAAAAAUACUACCUUCGUGGACAAUUAUAUAAGGAUUCCUUGGCCAUUGUAACAUCUACUUUUUCAGUUUUUUUAUUAAGUUUAUAGAGUUCAGGAAUAUUUUAUUUAACCGAGUUUUAAUUUAAUUUGUUUUCCUAUUUUAUUUAUUAUUAGCUUAUGAGAAGAUACUGGUCAGAUUAGCGGUUAAAAAACUGAGAUAGGAUGCUGGUGUGGGAGGAGACUAAGCCUAAAAGUAGCCGAUAUAAUAUUUAGAUCAAGCUCGAAAUCAUGUUAUUGUUUCUUUUUAUUUUAAGAGGAUGACAUACCUUUUUAUUGUUUCAUACGCCUUGCUGCAGAUGAAGGAAUCUGCACCAGGAAUUCGAUCAGUGCUGUGCAAAAGAAGG
This 1197-nucleotide long non-coding RNA is filed under the name Citrus maxima (pomelo). Its description in RNAcentral is "long non-coding RNA (CMAX_LNC001415)". Lineage: Eukaryota; Viridiplantae; Streptophyta; Magnoliopsida; Sapindales; Rutaceae. The record is from RNAcentral.